RNAcentral lists this ribosomal RNA (799 nucleotides) under uncultured euryarchaeote. RNAcentral describes it as "bacterial SSU rRNA". It matches the Rfam family "Archaeal small subunit ribosomal RNA", at positions 58 to 859 of the family's 1478-position model. The record is from RNAcentral. Lineage: Archaea; Methanobacteriati; Methanobacteriota.
UCAUGAUGUUCUUCGUGACAUGGCGUACUGCUCAGUAACACGUGGAUAACCUGCCCUUGGGUCCGGCAUAACCCCGGGAAACUGGGGAUAAUUCCGGAUAACGCACAUAUGCUGGAAUGCUUUAUGCGUAAAAUGGAUUCGUCUGCCCAAGGAUGGGUCUGCGGCCUAUCAGGUAGUAGUGGGUGUAAUGUACCUACUAGCCAACGACGGGUACGGGUUGUGAGAGCAAGAGCCCGGAGAUGGAUUCUGAGACGUGAAUCCAGGCCCUACGGGGCGCAGCAGGCGCGAAAACUUUACAAUGCGGGAAACCGUGAUAAGGGGACACCGAGUGCCAGCGUCAUACGCUGGCUGUCCAGGUGUGCAAAAUACACCUGUUAGCAAGGGCCGGGCAAGACCGGUGCCAGCCGCCGCGGUAACACCGGCGGCCCGAGUGGUGAUCGUGAUUAUUGGGUCUAAAGGGUCCGUAGCCGGUUUGGUCAGUCCUCCGGGAAAUCUGAUAGCUCAACUAUUAGGCUUUCGGGGGAUACUGCCAGACUUGGAACCGGGAGAGGUAAGAGGUACUACAGGGGUAGGAGUGAAAUCUUGUAAUCCCUGUGGGACCACCUGUGGCGAAGGCGUCUUACCAGAACGGGUUCGACGGUGAGGGACGAAAGCUGGGGGCAUGAACCGGAUUAGAUACCCGGGUAUCCCAGCCGUAAACGAUGCUCGCUAGGUGUCAGCAUGGCGCGACCGUGUCUGGUGCCGCAGGGAAGCCGUGAAGCGAGCCACCUGGGAAGUACGGCCGCAAGGCUAAACUUAA